RNAcentral lists this ribosomal RNA (274 nucleotides) under uncultured bacterium. RNAcentral describes it as "partial 16S ribosomal RNA". It matches the Rfam family "Bacterial small subunit ribosomal RNA", at positions 523 to 796 of the family's 1533-position model. The record is from RNAcentral.
AUACGGAGGGGGCUAGCGUUGUUCGGAUUUACUGGGCGUAAAGGGCGCGUAGGCGGUAUGUCAUGUCAGGGGUGAAAGGCCUGGGCUCAACCCAGGAACUGCCUUUGAAACUGGCAAACUAGAGUCCGAUAGAGGAUGGCGGAAUUCCCAGUGUAGAGGUGAAAUUCGUAGAUAUUGGGAAGAACACCAGUGGCGAAGGCGGCCAUCUGGAUCGGCACUGACGCUGAGGCGCGAAAGCGUGGGGAGCAAACGGGAGUAGAAACCCCAGUAGUCC